Molecule: ribosomal RNA, 875 nt
Filed under: uncultured bacterium
Lineage: Bacteria
Description: bacterial SSU rRNA
Rfam family: Bacterial small subunit ribosomal RNA
Source: RNAcentral
GGCUCAGAACGAACGCUGGCGGCGUGCUUAACACAUGCAAGUCGAACGUGAAGGGGGGCUUGCUCCCCGGAAAGUGGCGCACGGGUGAGUAACGCGUGGAUAAUCUACCUGAUGAUCUGGGAUAACAUUUCGAAAGAGGUGCUAAUACCGGAUAAGCCCACGAGUUCUUCGGAAUUUGCGGGAAAAGGGGGGGACCUUAGGGCCUUCUGUCAUCAGAUGAGUCCGCGUACCAUUAGCUAGUUGGUGGGGUAAAGGCCUACCAAGGCUACGAUGGUUAGCUGGUCUGAGAGGAUGAUCAGCCACACUGGAACUGAGACACGGUCCAGACUCCUACGGGAGGCAGCAGUGGGGAAUUUUGCGCAAUGGGGGAAACCCUGACGCAGCAACGCCGCGUGAGUGGUGAAGGCCUUCGGGUCGUAAAGCUCUGUCAGAGGGAAAGAAGUGUGCGGGUAUUAAUACUAUCUGCACUUGACGGUACCCUCAAAGGAAGCACCGGCUAACUCCGUGCCAGCAGCCGCGGUAAUACGGAGGGUGCUAGCGUUGUUCGGAUUUAUUGGGCGUAAAGCGCGUGUAGGCGGUUUUUUAAGUCUGAUGUGAAAGCCCCGGGCUCAACCUGGGAAGUGCAUUGGAUACUGGGAGACUUGAAUACGGGAGAGGGCAGUGGAAUUCCUAGUGUAGGAGUGAAAUCCGUAGAUAUUAGGAGGAACACCGGUGGUGAAGGCGGCUGCCUGGACCGAUAUUGACGAUGAGACGCGAAAGCGUGGGUAGCAAACAGGAUUAGAUACCCUGGUAGUCCACGCCGUAAACGAUGAGUAUUAGGUGUUGCGGGUAUUGACCCCUGCAGUGCCGCAGCUAACGCAUUAAGUACUCCGCCU